This is a long non-coding RNA of Gallus gallus (chicken), 4020 nucleotides long. RefSeq lists it as uncharacterized. The record is from RefSeq and is a predicted model, not a curated record. The transcript is spliced from 3 exons. NCBI's taxonomy places the organism in Eukaryota, Metazoa, Chordata, Aves, Galliformes, Phasianidae.
AGUUAGUCAAAGGCAAUACGAUAAUGGAGUGAAAGUUGCAGGAGGUGAUUGCAAUGCUGGAAAUGCUAUGGAUGGCAUUGCUUAUUUAUUUAGUAGACACAGUUUAGAAUGGGAAUAAAGAUUGGUCUGUCACCAUCACAUCAGCCAUCAGUUCAGCACUGCUCUAGGCAAUGAGUAUGCCGUUACUAAUUUUAGUCUGUGUUGCUGUCAUUCAGUCCAGAUAAUUUUUUAUGUUCAUUCAGUUGCUGUUAAUGAUUAAGAAAGAAAUGUUGUGUAAUGGUGAGGGAGGGUACUCAGAAAUUUCACCCCUUACAUCACAGCCCCUGCAGUUCCAGCCAGUGACGUGACAGAGAAUUAGUUGUUUCCAGCAGAGGCAGGAGCCAUGAUGUGGCUUUGUGGCAGGACCUGGCGCUUUCUCCUGGGGGACCAAUGUCACAGCCACGUCCUGCAGAAUGCAUCACUUUCGGCUGCCCUGGGACAGAGUUCUUCUGAUGUGGAGCACUGGAGGGUUUGGACUUCAGGGGCAGAGAAUGAAAUUGUACUGGAGGUACUCAAAAUGAUGUGAGUGAGUUGCUGAUCUGCACAUUGUCUCUAAACGCUGCAAUCCCUGCUGUAUAGGAACUGCUAAGUCGCACCUGAACCAGUGAUUGAGCAUCUGGUGAAGAGGCGUAGCCAGCGGUGGAAGCACAGGUGGAAGCAAUUCACCUGUGUGAUGAGAAUGGGAGGAGUCUGGAUCCAGCCCUCCCCCAGACUCAUUUAAGGGCUGGCAGCCACAGGGGAAGGGUAUCUACUUGGAGAUCACCUCCUUUGGAGUGUUUGGUCAGCCCUGUUUCUCAGAAAGGGCAUCAUGUAUCCUAGAGGGGUAUCAAAUUUAUGGCUAAGACUUUGAUGUGAAGCACUGAAGUUUAAGGAAGGAGGCUUAGCAACGCUGACUCAAAGGUAUUCUUAUUCUCUGUUUCCCCUUACUCCAAAAUUCCAUAUCUGCUGCUGAUGCACCCUGCUACGUUUAUCCUCCUGCCAGUAUGCAAGAAGGGCGAAGGUAUUUCCGAAGGACAGAGAUGAGAUGCUUCUCUCAAGGAGCAAGAUGUUGUCAGGCAGCACCACCUAACCCCCAACAGCUAACCACAAGUAGUGUCCACGGUGGGACAGGAGCUGGGCAUCUUCAAGAGGAGCUCAGGAAAAUGGAAAGGUAGGAAAUGCUUUAUAUUGUAAGAUGGGAUUACGCCGUUUCUCAGUUUACAAAGCUUAUGAAGUGUAGCUUCGCUCUAUCUUAUGUAAAGAGAAAGCAGAGAAGGGAUUUUCAUUUUUUUAUGGUUUAAAGAAAUUCUGGAAGAUAGGUGCAAAUAAAACCAGAGUUCAGACUUCAAGACUUAAAAGAAGGAAAAGAGAAAGGGAUUCUUGUGCAGGAAAAAGGAACAACCAACAGUACAAAACAAAGGUGCAUUCGAUAACUCAAGAGCUCUUGGGAAAGUCACCACUGGGAGCAAAGAAAGACAAGUCUGCUUUGACUCGAUGGUAACUGAAUUUUCCAUUUAUUGUUCAGACUUAACUGUGGUCUUAGCCUCACCCAGCUACGAGAAUAGAAAGCUCCUGCUCCUACAUGCAGAGUGCUGCAAGGAUGGAAGGAAGUGCUGUGACUUCUGUUUGUGCAGUGCUUUGUAGUUGGAGUUCAACACAAUGCAUUGCAAUACUGGACUAAAAAAUACAAAAUCAAGUAUAUAUGAAGGACACGUAGCCACCCUGGACUGGAGACUUUUUCAACUGUUGAUUCAUUUAGAAUAUGUCAUAAAGGCACAAAUACAAUGAACAAACAGUUUUUCUUCAACUCACUACUUUCUUUGCUUUUCUUACUUCAGUUGUACUUGCUUCUCACAGAUUCUUGAUUACCAAGCCCUAGCAGCAAACCACACUAACCUGCCAAAACAAGUCCAGCUUUGGGGUCAACUGUGUGCCUUCGUGAAUCAUCGCUGAAUUAGUGUUCUGUAAAUCUUAGUGUUUGGUUUCUCUUUUAUUUCUGAUGGCGAUAUAAAGCCAUUUCACCCAGUAUGUUUGUACUAGUAGAAACGCAAGAUAGCCAGGUCAUUGCAGAGUGAACUGACACAUACACACACGUGUGUGCAUACAGCUUUUCAGGGAAAGCAAAGUAGGAUGCUAUUUGUGUUUCUUGUACACAGGGAACCAAAGUUAAUUUGUAGGUUGGUGAGAGAAAGCUUGUGACACUGCACUCCAUUUCACAUCAAGAGACAUUAACUUGAAAUUACUGUUUCCAAGGGAAACACUUAUGACUCAAAGCAUUAAUUUGCAUUAGCCCACGAUAAGGCUAGCCUGUAAAUUGAGUUAUUGAAAAUAACUCGCAACCAUUGCACUAAGGAAGGAAUUAACUAGGCAUGUUUUCCUAUAAACAUGAGCUGAUAUUUUUUUCCAGGUAGUUUAAAUACUAAAAAAGUGUGCAACAUGUAAUCAAUUUAUUUUUCCAGUAAAUUCAUUAUUUAGCAAAUUGUCACAAUGGAAGCAAUCAGUCUGGAUAAAUUUGAGCUGGCUGGGUUUUAUCUCCUCACCUUUUACUUUCAUGUGAACAGCCUAUUAAAGCCCAUGGUUUGGGACAAGCUCUACAUUUUUCUCUUACAGCUGUGAGGACAAUGGUCAUUCUUUACAAAUUUAGUUCAAGGUAAUGUGAUGUUCUACCCAAUCUGGCAGAAAGAUUUAUAACUUAGCAACCGGGGCCUACAUUUCUGUGUUGUAAGCAAGUCUGGUCUCGGGCAGAUUUCACUUCUUUUGGACAUCGCAAGGAUUAUUUAGAAAAUCUCCAUGAAAUGCGCUCUUUACCCUUUGUGUGCUCCUAUGAUAACCACUCCAAGAAAGUUAACUAUUGUUCUUACUACCUGAAACCUACCCCCAGAAAAGUAUUCUGAACUGUUGCUGAUUAACAGUUGCACAGGUACCACCGCUGCUUUAAGCACAAGGUGAGCUAGUAUUCCCCCAAGUCAGUGUAGUCAGCCAGGACCCAUUUUUCAGUUCUCACUCAGGUUUCUGUCCUCACACAGCAUUAUAGCUUUGACACCAGGUGGGAAAUGCUUGCAGAGUUUCCUGGCUUUAAGAAAGGUAAGCUUUCUUCUAGGUUCUCAGAAUGGUGCCCCAGAGAGGAGCGCAGACAGCCCCCUCCCAGCAGAGGCGUUCCCCAUCCCAGCAUACCCAAUCAUGCUGAAGGCACCCAUCCGGUGCUCUCCAAAUGCCUUUCCAAUGUACUAGAACCAAAGACGCUUGCACGUCCUUACAUUAAAUAACGUGAUCCAUAAGGCAGGUGACAACGUUGCAUGUGUAGGCGUAGAGCAUCCAUACUGAAGCAGACGUGAGCCCCGGUGUCUGCCGUGCACAUGGUGCAUUGCCAUGGAGCAGAGCACUGCCUCAUGCUUCCUGGCCCUGCCCGUCACAUCCCGUAUUCUCUGCCUGCCAUGCCCGACAGGGCACCCUGCGGUGUAUCCCUCAAUUGCUUCUCAUGAGUAAGGACAUUAUUUUUGAUCCAAACUAAUAUGUAAUUAUCUAUUUCAGAAUGUUUUAUUAGGAAUUAGGAUCCUUUUUAUAUUUUAACCAAACAUAUUCAUUUCACAGCAUGUUAAAAAUCAUUUUCUCUCCCCUAACUGUGUUUAUCCUUUCUCUGUAAUAUUUCACAGCUGAAGUCCUUUUCUAAGAGAGCUUGAAAAAUAUGGUCUGGGUUUAUUUUCAUAAAUUCAGCAUAUAUGGACAAAAUGCGUCCUCUCCUUUCUUGUCCUUAGCAUUCUAAAAUGUACCUGUGUUCAAAUAUUAAGAAAUAAAACAAAUAUAAAUUAUGCAUUUUCCGAGUUAAUUUAAAAUGCAUUAUGCACUGCUUUGUUCUCUGGAAUUAGUAUUAUUAAGGGGACAGAUCUGUAUGGAUUAAUUUUGAGUCAGUUUAUUCACUUCUUUGUAAUUCAGUGGCAAGGAUUUCUGUCCCCAGGCGUCAAAUUAAAAUUUUUACUGUAAGUAACACAUACACAAUAUGGA